Molecule: ribosomal RNA, 458 nt
Filed under: uncultured bacterium
Lineage: Bacteria
Description: partial 16S ribosomal RNA
Rfam family: Bacterial small subunit ribosomal RNA
Source: RNAcentral
CCUACGGGAGGCAGCAGUGAGGAAUAUUGGUCAAUGGGCGAGAGCCUGAACCAGCCAAGUCGCGUGAGGGAAGACGGUCCUAUGGAUUGUAAACCUCUUUUGCCGGGGAGCAAAAAGCGGUACGUGUACCGCAUCGCGAGUACCCGGAGAAAAAGCAUCGGCUAACUCCGUGCCAGCAGCCGCGGUAAUACGGAGGAUGCGAGCGUUAUCCGGAUUUAUUGGGUUUAAAGGGUGCGCAGGCGGCGAGUUAAGUCAGCGGUAAAAUUUCGGGGCUCAACCCCGACAAGCCGUUGAAACUGGCUUGCUAGAGUGGGGGAGAAGUAUGCGGAAUGGGGGGUGUAGCGGUGAAAGGCAUAGAUAUCACGCAGAACUCCGAUUGCGAAGGCAGCAUACCGGCGCCAACUGACGCUGAGGCACGAAAGCGUGGGUAUCGAACAGGAUUAGAUACCCUUGUAGUC